RNAcentral lists this ribosomal RNA (253 nucleotides) under uncultured bacterium. Its description in RNAcentral is "partial 16S ribosomal RNA". It matches the Rfam family "Bacterial small subunit ribosomal RNA", at positions 524 to 776 of the family's 1533-position model. The record is from RNAcentral.
UACGAAGGGGGCUAGCGUUGCUCGGAAUUACUGGGCGUAAAGCGCACGUAGGCGGCUUUCUAAGUCGGGGGUGAAAUCCUGGAGCUCAACUCCAGAACUGCCUUCGAUACUGGAGAGCUUGAGUCCGGGAGAGGUGAGUGGAACUGCGAGCGUAGAGGUGAAAUUCGUAGAUAUUCGCAAGAACACCAGUGGCGAAGGCGGCUCACUGGCCCGGUACUGACGCUGAGGUGCGAAAGCGUGGGGAGCAAACAGG